GAGAGAGCUUGCUCUCUUGGUGGCGAGUGGCGGACGGGUGAGUAAUAUAUCGGAACGUGCCCAGUAGCGGGGGAUAACUACUCGAAAGAGUGGCUAAUACCGCAUACGCCCUACGGGGGAAAGGGGGGGAUUCUUCGGAACCUCUCACUAUUGGAGCGGCCGAUAUCGGAUUAGCUAGUUGGUGGGGUAAAGGCUCACCAAGGCAACGAUCCGUAGCUGGUUUGAGAGGACGACCAGCCACACUGGGACUGAGACACGGCCCAGACUCCUACGGGAGGCAGCAGUGGGGAAUUUUGGACAAUGGGGGAAACCCUGAUCCAGCCAUCCCGCGUGUAUGAUGAAGGCCUUCGGGUUGUAAAGUACUUUUGGCAGAGAAGAAAAGGUAUCUCCUAAU
RNAcentral lists this ribosomal RNA (394 nucleotides) under Alcaligenes faecalis. RNAcentral's name for it is "bacterial SSU rRNA". It matches the Rfam family "Bacterial small subunit ribosomal RNA", at positions 72 to 464 of the family's 1533-position model. The record is from RNAcentral. Lineage: Bacteria; Pseudomonadati; Pseudomonadota; Betaproteobacteria; Burkholderiales; Alcaligenaceae.